This 110-nucleotide ribosomal RNA is filed under the name Caerostris extrusa. The record is from RNAcentral. Lineage: Eukaryota; Metazoa; Arthropoda; Arachnida; Araneae; Araneidae.
GCCCAUACCAUGCUGAAUAUACCGGUUCUCGUUAGAUCACCGAAGUCAAGCAUCAUUGGGCGCGGUCAGUACUUGGAUGGGUCACCACCAGGGAACACCGCGUGCCGUUG